AGAAGGCUUAGAGAGAGAGGAGGAGAGAAGCAGGAGAGAGGGAGGGUGCCUUCUGUCCCCUCCGUCCCAAGUCGGGUUUCCUAGUCCCAAACCAGGCUUCCCGGGCACCCCUUCCUCACAGCCAACUACACACAGGCAAAAGGCUACUGACGGAAAAGGGAAGGCUUCAAGGCCACUCUGAGUAGUUUUAAUGCCACUCUGGCUGUGCCCCUUGGUCAUAUGAAGCCCCAAGCCAUGCCGUUGAGGCCAGUGCUUCCUCCCUUCCAAGAGAGGGUGGGUAAGGGCCCGAAAAAGUACCUGGGUACCCCUGCUCCAGGGUCAUUUACGGUAUGUGCCCCCUUCCCCAUUGAUUCUUUCCUGACAGGUUGGGACAACUCCCUUAGCAACAAAGAGUUGCUAAGAAGCCACAGGCUGGCUUGAGCCCACAGCGUGAAGGCAGCGCCCUUGUGGAGUUGGGAUAUUCUGACCCACUCGGGGCGGGCUCCACACACCAACACGUUUUGGGAUCCAAGCGCUCAGGGAACUGGAGACUUCACGUUUCCAGCUGCCCAGGAGUGGUCAGGCUCAAAGGAGGACGACAAAAAGGAAAUCAGUGCCGGAUACAAGAAAUGCCCAGUUCCGGAUACACAGACGGAAAAUACGGCAGGGAGGAAACCCGUCCACGGGGCAUCCAUUUCUAGACCCUUCCAGACCAAGGCACGUGUUCCCCCAUGCCGUGGCGGCCCACAUUUACCAUCUGGCCCUUCACAGGAAGAGUGUGUCAACCCUCGGUGUGGACAAACCCCGUUCUUGUCCCCAGAGAGGUCAGCACGUGAGGAUGGAGAGAGAUGAACUCAUGAUUAUAACCUACUGUGAGACCUCCUAGGGGAAGGUGGAGAUAGUUUACAGUGGAGAAAUGCAAACAUUUUUUCUCUCGGCUGAAGCAUCCAUUUGUAAAUAGCCUUUGGCCCCCUGAAGUUCUUCUCCUUCACUGAUUCUGAAAAUCCAUCCUGCUCUCCCCAAGGCACAUAUCCAGGCCCUCCUAAGACCCAGAAGAACGCCAAGAUUUCUAUUUAAGGAGCGUCCCUCUUCUUCAAAGGUGGCUGUGGUUAUAAAUAGCCGCAUUUUAAAAAAUUGAAUGUUUAUGUUUUCAUCAGACUGUCAAGGUUAGGAAAACUGGCCUUCAAAUACAACCACCCUGGAUUUGGAUUCUGGCUAUGCCUACAUAACAAAUUCAUGUGAUUGUUGUGAAACCAGCGCAAGAUAUUUCAUGUAAAGAGCUUAUUAUAAUGUUUGGCAUUUAGUGAGGAACCAAUAAUAAGCAUUGCUUAACAAUAACAAUGAUAAUAGAUCGUCUUAUCUUUUGUAUACUGAAUAAUAAUAAUAAUAAAUUUAAUGUUUGGUACACUGCUUAAUAAUAAUAAGGAAAACUUCUUAUGUUUGGUCAUUAGUAAAUAAUCAAUAGUAGUUUAAUUCAGAUUUAUAAAUAAAUUUAAUGAUAACAUUUAUUACUAUUUUAUAUAUUUGUAAUAGUUCUAUGUGCCUAACAUAAACCGAUCCUGUUUUGCUGGGUGUUGCAGAAUAUGGCAUCAGUUUUGGUAGGUAUGGGAAAAGAAUAUUGAAAAAAAAAAUGAUUUCUCCAUUUGCAUGAAGAGUCAUGAAAAUGUUAAAUUUUACCAUCCGUGAUCAUGCCCCAGCUGACUGAAUACACCAUUAC
Long non-coding RNA from Balaenoptera acutorostrata (minke whale), 1696 nucleotides. RefSeq lists it as uncharacterized. The record is from RefSeq and is a predicted model, not a curated record. The transcript has 3 exons. NCBI's taxonomy places the organism in Eukaryota, Metazoa, Chordata, Mammalia, Artiodactyla, Balaenopteridae.